Molecule: ribosomal RNA, 422 nt
Filed under: uncultured bacterium
Lineage: Bacteria
Description: bacterial SSU rRNA
Rfam family: Bacterial small subunit ribosomal RNA
Source: RNAcentral
UGGGGAAUAUUGCGCAAUGGCCGAAAGGCUGACGCAGCGACGCCGCGUGUAGGAUGAAGCUUUUCGGAGUGUAAACUACUGUUGCCCGGGACGAACGGCGGAUUUUUAUCCGAUUGACGGUACCGGGUGAGGAAGCACCGGCUAACUCCGUGCCAGCAGCCGCGGUAAUACGGAGGGUGCGAGCGUUGUCCGGAAUCACUGGGCGUAAAGGGCGCGUAGGUGGCUUGGCAAGCGUGUGGUGAAAGCCCGGGGCUUAACCCCGGGUCUGCCGUGCGUACUACCAUAGCUAGAGUACUGUAGAGGCAGGUUGAAUUCCGGGUGUAGCGGUGGAAUGCGUAGAGAUCCGGAAGAAUACCGGUGGCGAAGGCGGCCUGCUGGGCAGUUACUGACACUGAGGCGCGACAGCGUGGGGAGCAAACAGG